UGGUGCCAGCAGCCGCGGUAAUUCCAGCUCCAAUAGCGUAUAUUAAAGUUGUUGCAGUUAAAAAGCCCGUAGUUGAACUUCAGACCUGGUGGGGUGGUCCGCUUAACGGCGUGUACUGCUCUGCUGGGCCUUACCUCUUGGUGAGCCGGCGUGGCCUUAACUGGUUGCGUCGGGGAACCAGGACUUUUACCUUGAGAAAAUUAGAGUGUUCAAAGCAGGCCUAUGCCUGAAUACAUUAGCAUGGAAUAAUAAAAUAGGACGUGCGGUUCUAUUUUGUUGGUUUCUAGAGUCGCCGUAAUGAUUAAUAGGGAUAGUUGGGGGCAUUGGUAUUGAGUCGCUAGAGGUGAAAUUCUUGGAUUGACUCAAGACCGACUACUGCGAAAGCAUUUGCCAAGGAUGUUUUCAUUAAUCAAGGACGAAGGUUAGGGGAUCGAAAACGAUCAGAUACCGUUGUAGUCUUAACAGUAAACUAUGCCGACUAGGGAUCGGGCGACCUCAAAUUUGAUGUGUCGCUCGGCACCUUACGAGAAAUCAAAGUUUUUGGGUUCUG
RNAcentral lists this ribosomal RNA (550 nucleotides) under Agaricus blazei. Its description in RNAcentral is "SSU rRNA". It matches the Rfam family "Eukaryotic small subunit ribosomal RNA", at positions 562 to 1116 of the family's 1831-position model. The record is from RNAcentral. Lineage: Eukaryota; Fungi; Basidiomycota; Agaricomycetes; Agaricales; Agaricaceae. RNAcentral also lists the same sequence under 1 other name.